CUUACGAGUAGGGCUACACACGUGCUACAAUGGCGUAUACAAAGAGAAGCGACCUCGCGAGAGCAAGCGGACCUCAUAAAGUACGUCGUAGUCCGGAUUGGAGUCUGCAACUCGACUCCAUGAAGUCGGAAUCGCUAGUAAUCGUAGAUCAGAAUGCUACGGUGAAUACGUUCCCGGGCCUUGUACACACCGCCCGUCACACCAUGGGAGUGGGUUGCAAAAGAAGUAGGUAGCUUAACCUUCGGGAGGGCGCUUACCACUUUGUGAUUCAUGACUGGGGUGAAGUCGUAACAAGGUAACCGUAGGGGAACCUGCGGUUGGAUCACCUCC
This 330-nucleotide ribosomal RNA is filed under the name Serratia marcescens. RNAcentral describes it as "bacterial SSU rRNA". It matches the Rfam family "Bacterial small subunit ribosomal RNA", at positions 1201 to 1530 of the family's 1533-position model. The record is from RNAcentral. Lineage: Bacteria; Pseudomonadati; Pseudomonadota; Gammaproteobacteria; Enterobacterales; Yersiniaceae.